GGUGAAAUGACCACGUCCAGUCAGGAUCCUAUGGAGCACAGCUCAUGGGCCAUGACACGCCCAGGACCUACUUCAGCACCUCAAAGAGAAUGGACCAAAUGUCAACUGGAAGUUUUUAUAUUAAUACAGUUUGAAAAAGAUUGUUUUCCUAGUAUAUUCACAAAAGCUCAGGAGUAGACAUGAACCUGUGCACAAACAUCCAUCACAUAGAGACAUAAGAACUCACACACACAUACAUUCUAUUAUGUAAAUGAAUUUGCAUUUUAAAAGCAGCUGGAAAUGUUAUUUGUUUUAUGGAUUUUUUUUGUUCAAAAGGAACUAUGUUGCAUGUAUUUUUUAAAUAUAUUUACUUAAUUUUAGAGACAUUUGUUCAUGGGACUUAAAUGUUCUGAAAAUGUAUUAAUAAAUAUAAUUUACAACAGCAA
Long non-coding RNA from Pseudoliparis swirei, 425 nucleotides. RefSeq lists it as uncharacterized. The transcript has 2 exons. Lineage: Eukaryota; Metazoa; Chordata; Actinopteri; Perciformes; Liparidae. The record is from RefSeq and is a predicted model, not a curated record.